Molecule: transfer RNA, 94 nt
Filed under: Byssovorax cruenta
Lineage: Bacteria; Pseudomonadati; Myxococcota; Polyangiales; Polyangiaceae
Also listed under: 13 other names
Description: tRNA-Ser
Rfam family: tRNA
About the family: Transfer RNA (tRNA) molecules are approximately 80 nucleotides in length. Their secondary structure includes four short double-helical elements and three loops (D, anti-codon, and T loops).
Source: RNAcentral
GGGGAGGUGCCAGAGUGGUCGAAUGGGGCCGCCUGCUAAGCGGUUACCGGGGCGAAAUCCUCGGUCGCAGGUUCGAAUCCUGUCCUCCCCGCCA